UACCCCGAGGAAAAGAAAUCAACCGAGAUUCCCCCAGUAGCGGCGAGCGAACGGGGAGCAGCCCAGAGCCUGAAUCAGUGUGUGUGUUAGUGGAAGCGUCUGGAAAGGCGUGCGAUACAGGGUGACAGCCCCGUACACAAAAAUGCACAUACUGUGAGCUCGAUGAGUAGGGCGGGACACGUGGUAUCCUGUCUGAAUAUGGGGGGACCAUCCUCCAAGGCUAAAUACUCCUGACUGACCGAUAGUGAACCAGUACCGUGAGGGAAAGGCGAAAAGAACCCCGGCGAGGGGAGUGAAAAAGAACCUGAAACCGUGUACGUACAAGCAGUGGGAGCACGCUUAGGCGUGUGACUGCGUACCUUUUGUAUAAUGGGUCAGCGACUUAUAUUCUGUAGCAAGGUUAACCGAAUAGGGGAGCCGAAGGGAAACCGAGUCUUAACUGGGCGUUAAGUUGCAGGGUAUAGACCCGAAACCCGGUGAUCUAGCCAUGGGCAGGUUGAAGGUUGGGUAACACUAACUGGAGGACCGAACCGACUAAUGUUGAAAAAUUAGCGGAUGACUUGUGGCUGGGGGUGAAAGGCCAAUCAAACCGGGAGAUAGCUGGUUCUCCCCGAAAGCUAUUUAGGUAGCGCCUCGUGAAUUCAUCUCCGGGGGUAGAGCACUGUUUCGGCAAGGGGGUCAUCCCGACUUACCAACCCGAUGCAAACUGCGAAUACCGGAGAAUGUUAUCACGGGAGACACACGGCGGGUGCUAACGUCCGUCGUGAAGAGGGAAACAACCCAGACCGCCAGCUAAGGUCCCAAAGUCAUGGUUAAGUGGGAAACGAUGUGGGAAGGCCCAGACAGCCAGGAUGUUGGCUUAGAAGCAGCCAUCAUUUAAAGAAAGCGUAAUAGCUCACUGGUCGAGUCGGCCUGCGCGGAAGAUGUAACGGGGCUAAACCAUGCACCGAAGCUGCGGCAGCGACGCUGAUGCGUUGUUGGGUAGGGGAGCGUUCUGUAAGCCUGUGAAGGUGUGCUGUGAGGCAUGCUGGAGGUAUCAGAAGUGCGAAUGCUGACAUAAGUAACGAUAAAGCGGGUGAAAAGCCCGCUCGCCGGAAGACCAAGGGUUCCUGUCCAACGUUAAUCGGGGCAGGGUGAGUCGACCCCUAAGGCGAGGCCGAAAGGCGUAGUCGAUGGGAAACAGGUUAAUAUUCCUGUACUUGGUGUUACUGCGAAGGGGGGACGGAGAAGGCUAUGUUGGCCGGGCGACGGUUGUCCCGGUUUAAGCGUGUAGGCUGGUUUUCCAGGCAAAUCCGGAAAAUCAAGGCUGAGGCGUGAUGACGAGGCACUACGGUGCUGAAGCAACAAAUGCCCUGCUUCCAGGAAAAGCCUCUAAGCAUCAGGUAACAUCAAAUCGUACCCCAAACCGACACAGGUGGUCAGGUAGAGAAUACCAAGGCGCUUGAGAGAACUCGGGUGAAGGAACUAGGCAAAAUGGUGCCGUAACUUCGGGAGAAGGCACGCUGAUAUGUAGGUGAAGCGACUUGCUCGUGGAGCUGAAAUCAGUCGAAGAUACCAGCUGGCUGCAACUGUUUAUUAAAAACACAGCACUGUGCAAACACGAAAGUGGACGUAUACGGUGUGACGCCUGCCCGGUGC
Molecule: ribosomal RNA, 1638 nt
Filed under: Escherichia coli
Lineage: Bacteria; Pseudomonadati; Pseudomonadota; Gammaproteobacteria; Enterobacterales; Enterobacteriaceae
Description: partial 23S ribosomal RNA
Rfam family: Bacterial large subunit ribosomal RNA
Source: RNAcentral